AUCACCUAAGGAUCUUGGUAAAAUUCUGAUCCAUGAUCUGGGUGUGGCCUGAGAUUCUGCAUUUCUAGCAAGUUUCUAAGAGAUGCU
RNAcentral lists this microRNA precursor (87 nucleotides) under Loxodonta africana (African savanna elephant). RNAcentral's name for it is "miRNA (ENSLAFG00000032463.1)". Lineage: Eukaryota; Metazoa; Chordata; Mammalia; Proboscidea; Elephantidae. The record is from RNAcentral.